RNAcentral lists this ribosomal RNA (509 nucleotides) under uncultured Glomus. RNAcentral describes it as "SSU rRNA". It matches the Rfam family "Eukaryotic small subunit ribosomal RNA", at positions 569 to 1083 of the family's 1831-position model. Lineage: Eukaryota; Fungi; Glomeromycota; Glomeromycetes; Glomerales; Glomeraceae. The record is from RNAcentral.
AGCAGCCGCGGUAAUUCCAGCUCCAAUAGCGUAUAUUAAAGUUGUUGCAGUUAAAAGGCUCGUAGUUGAAUUUCGGGACUAAUAUGUCGGUCGUACUUUGUACGUACUAGCAUUAUUGGUUUCUCCCUUCUGACGAACCACGAUGUCAUUAAUUUGGUGUCAUGGGAAAUCAGGACUGUUACUUUGAAAAAUUAGAGUGUUUAAAGCAAGCUCGCGCUUGAAUACAUUAGCAUGGAAUAAUGAAAUAGGACGUUUGAUUCUAUUUUGUUGGUUUCUAGGAUCGACGUAAUGAUUAAUAGGGAUAGUUGGGGGCAUUAGUAUUCAAUUGUCAGAGUUGAAAUUCUUGGAUUUAUUGAAGACUAACUACUGCGAAAGCAUUUGCCAAGGAUGUUUUCAUUAAUCAAGAACGAAAGUUAGGGGAUCGAGACGAUCAGAUACCGUCGUAGUCUUAACCAUAAACUAUGACCGACUAGGGAUCGGAUGAUGUUAAUUUAUAAUGACUCAUUCGG